GUCAGCAUGGCAUAGUGGUUUGAGCAUUAGACUACAACUCUGGAGACCAGGGUUCGAUUCCCAGCUCAGUCA
This is a non-coding RNA of Phrynosoma platyrhinos (Desert horned lizard), 72 nucleotides long. The record is from the annotation of a GenBank genome assembly. Lineage: Eukaryota; Metazoa; Chordata; Lepidosauria; Squamata; Phrynosomatidae.